RNAcentral lists this ribosomal RNA (894 nucleotides) under uncultured archaeon. Its description in RNAcentral is "bacterial SSU rRNA". It matches the Rfam family "Archaeal small subunit ribosomal RNA", at positions 17 to 918 of the family's 1478-position model. The record is from RNAcentral.
CCGGACCUGACUGCUAUCGGAUUGGUACUAAGCCAUGCGAGUCGUUGUAGCAAUACAAGGCGGACGGCUCAGUAACACGUAGUCAACCUAACCUAUGGACGUGGAUAACCUCGGGAAACUGAGAAUAAACCGCGAUAGAUCAUAAUGCCUGGAAUGGCUUAUGGUUAAAAUAAUUUAUUGCCGUAGGAUGGGACUGCGGCCUAUCAGCUUGUUGGUGAGGUAACGGCCCACCAAGGCUAUAACAGGUACGGGCUCUGAGAGGAGAAGCUCGGAGAUGGGUACUGAGACACGGACCCAGGCCCUAUGGGGCGCAGCAGGCGAGAAACCUUAGCAAUGUGCGAAAGCACGACUAGGUUAAUCCGAGUGAUUUCUGUUGAAGAAAUCUUUUGUCAGUCGUAAAACCACAGACGAAUAAGGGGUGGGCAAGUCUGGUGUCAGCCGCCGCGGUAAUACCAGCACCUCGAGUGGUCAGGAGGUUUAUUGGGCCUAAAGCAUCCGUAGCCGGCUAUGCAAGUCUCCGGUUAAAUCCAACUGCUCAACAGAUGGGCUGCCGGAGAUACUACACAGCUAGGGAGCGGGAGAGGUAGACGGUAUUCUGUGGGUAGGGGUAAAAUCCACUGAUCCAUAGAGGACCACCAGUGGCGAAGGCGGUCUACCAGAACGCGUUCGACGGUGAGGGAUGAAAGCUGGGGGAGCAAACCGGAUUAGAUACCCGGGUAGUCCCAGCUGUAAACGAUGCAAACUCGGUGAUGCAUUGACUUAUGGUCAAUGCAGUGCCGCAGGAAAGCCGUUAAGUUUGCCGCCUGGGAAGUACGGACGCAAGUCUGAAACUUAAAGGAAUUGGCGGGGGAGCACCACAAGGGGUGAAGCCUGCGGUUCAAUUGGAUUCAACGC